CUUGUUCUCUGCUCAGCUUCCUGGCUCAGAGCCUAUUGCUGCACCGCCUCAAUUGUGCGCCGGGAGCCCGGGCCGAGCCGAGCCGAGCCGACCCGCUGCUGCUCCCCAGCAGGGUGUGUGUGCGGGGAGAGCCCUUCCCUAGCGCCCCUCUGUGCCCAGCCGGGGGAACUUUCUCCGGGGACCGGAAUCAGCCCCUGGGGCAGCCCCGAGCUCUGCCGACACCAGCCCCUGAGCCGGAGCCUGCAGGAUUUCUGGUUCCCCAAUGCAAAGUGAUCUCACUGAUGGAUGGAGGGGAGGGUCCCCAGUCUCCAGGGCUCUGAGGAACAGGAGAUCCCAAGGAGCACCCACACAGCAGGUGAUAGGACGGUGAGUGAGACCAAGGAGGAGAACCCUCAGCAGGGAGGUCCUGAGCAAGUGGAACCGCAGGGGGUGCUGUCGGGAGAUGCUGAAAGGAACAUUUCCCAGAAUCCUGGGCAGGGAGAAGCCCAUGAGAGUCAGCAGGGAAACCAGCUGGAGGAGAGACGAGGUGAAUCCGCACACCAUGUAGGAGCUCUCAAGCACAGCAUGGGUGGUAGGACGCUGCCCGUAGGCAAGAACCAGAGCACCUGCACUGAAUGUGGGAAGCAGUUCAGCCGGAGCUCGUAUCUGGCGCAGCACCAACGGGUGCACACGGGGGAGCGUCCCUAUGCCUGCGCCACCUGCGGGAAGAGCUUUGCUGUCAGCUCUGCCCUGCUUCGGCACCAGCGCACUCACACAGGUGAGCGGCCCUACCAGUGCCCCGACUGCCAGUGCAGCUUCAGCCGCAGCUCCCACUUGACACGGCACCAGCGCUGCCACACACAGGAGGGGCCCUGCCAUGGGGUUGGCUUGCCGGGUGAGCGCCCCUUCGCCUGCCUGGACUGCUGGCGGACAUUCAGCCAGAGCUCGGACCUGGUGCAGCACCAGCGGGUGCACACGGACGAGCGCCCCUAUGCCUGCACCGACUGUGGGAAGAUCUUUGGCCGCAGCUCACACCUGCGGCAGCACCGGCGCACACAUACUGGGGAGCGCCCCUACGCCUGCCAGGAUUGUGGGCGCUGCUUCAGCGAUGGCUCCUACCUCAUCAAACACCAGCGCACCCACACUGGCGAGAAGCCCUACACCUGCCCUGACUGCAGCAAGGGUUUCAGCGUCAGCUCCCAGCUGGUUCGGCACCGGCGCGUCCACACUGGGGAGCGGCCCUACGCCUGCUGGGACUGCGGGAAAAGUUUCAGCCAGGGCACAGACCUGGCCACCCACCAGCGGUCCCACACGGGUGAGCGCCCCUACACCUGCCCUGACUGCGGGAAGGGCUUCAGCGACAGCUCCUCCCGCAUCCGACACCACCGGCUGCACAUCCAGGAUGCCCCGUGAUGGGCUGGUCGUGUGAUGCACUGUCAGUAUUACCCUGGCACCUAGGACCGGGCCCCUGUUUGAUGGGUGCAAAUUUACCCUAAUUUACUCUCUUCUUGCCUUCUGUUUAAUGACCAUCAGGCUUAGCUGCCCAAGACUCCAUGCUUUGUAAGAACACUGUGAGCCGUGACCAGAGACAGCUAAAAGCAAGGCAGCCCGAUGCUGGUACGCAGUUGCUAAGUCUCAGAGUGGCUGAUGACACCCUGUGCUGGGCCUGUGUUUCUCCUGCCAUGAGGUUCCAAGCGUGAGUCGGCGCCCGAGACGGAAGCUACAUUUUCCUGCUUUGCUGUUUGUUUCCCUCGCCUUGUGUGUCUCUUCUUAGGCAGUGGGAUCUGCCUUUAACAAGAGUCCAUUUUCUCCUUUCCCUACAAGGACAGUUAGCAUCUAAGAGACUGUCAGACCAGAGGCUUUUCCUUCUAAAAACUUGCUCCAGCUAAAGGAACAAAGGCUGUUGUUGAAAUAAAAGCCUCACUUUGUAUCGAGA
Non-coding RNA from Chrysemys picta bellii (western painted turtle), 1915 nucleotides. NCBI's taxonomy places the organism in Eukaryota, Metazoa, Chordata, Testudines, Emydidae. The record is from RefSeq and is a predicted model, not a curated record.